UUAACAUUUAAACUUAGACCACAUUAUUAUAUAUGUCAACAGUAGUAACAAUAAACUCAAAGUUAUUGGUAUAAUUACUCACAGACAUAAAGAAAUUGUGUGUGAGCUGUUGUCUUAAUGUGGGAAAACAAGCUCUGUAUCUCAAUGUUCAUACUAUCCAUCAGAUAUGUUUAGAAUAAGUGUGUCCCAAAGCAUAGUAUGAUAAAGAGUAUGCCCAAAGUCCCCGGAUGGUCUACUAUUUCAGGUCGAUUUUUUAAGUUCAAACAGUUGAAUGCACUUGUUUUUCCAGUCAUUAAUCAUCUCUAAAUUAAUGCACUGCCUUCACUUAAACACAAAUAGACAAACAUCAGAUUUCAUUGAUUUGAUGUGUUUUAAUACUGAUAUCUCUUUGGAUUUUUUAAAGAAAGUUUAAUUAUCAUGUCUCAUGCACUCACAAGCUUGUUUCUGCUUCUCUCUGCAGAUAUGUGAGUUGUUCAUAUCAAGGCAAAGUUAAAAGGGUAGACCGAAAGAAAGGAUUGAAGAUAGGAGAGAAUUACAGAUGACUACCAGGCAAAAGAGUUCAUACACUACAUAGCAGAGGAUGAGAGAAAAAAGAUGAGGGCCAGAUUAUCAGAUGUCAAGUUCAUCUCAGUCAUGUCAGAUGAUCUCUGGACAGUGUAGUGAUGGAAGAAGAAAUGCUCUACGUCACAAGUGCCACUGAGGACAAGGUCAAAGCUGAUUUAGAUUCAAAGCCAGAUGCUGCAAAUCUAGCUGAAGCAGUGUGUAGUAUAAUGGGAAGUGGAGUCAGCACUCAAUGGAAAAAGAAGCAAGUGGCAAUCACCAUAGAUGGAGCAUCUGUAAUGACAGGGGUAAACAACGGUGAACUUACAAAACUUGGAGGAGCACUGCUAGAUUUAGUGAUGUGAACAGUGGUGUCCUGCAGGAGAUGCGGCUGACCAGUUUCCAGUGCUGGCCAGAGACAGACACCAGUUCAGGUUAGCAAUUCACAUGUAAAGACCAAAUCUUCAUCAGUCACUUCCGACCUCUUUUACUGUCUGCUGGAGUGAAUGUGGAGUUGAUCCCUGAUCAAUGGACAGUUCUCAAGACUGAACUUCACACAGCAGGAGCCUGCUGCAGGAACCUUUGAGAAGACCUGGUCUACUGUGAACAGAUUACUGCACCAUCAUGUCCUGAUGUCCUUGAUGUUUCUGAUGCUCUCCUCACAAUCCCUGCAACUACAGCUGACUGUGAAAGAGGGUUCAGUGUUAUGAAGCAGGUAAAGAGUGACUGGGGCUCACACCUAAAAGAUGAGACCCUCUCUGACCUCCUUAAACCCAGUUGUGCUCACCUGACAUCAAAGACUUUGAUCCAACCACAGUCAUUGACAUCUGGCACGCUGAGAGUUUGUGCUCAUGCAGGCCUGACUUUCUGCACAAACACCGAACAAAAGGAACAGAGGGUGGCUCAGAUUCUGAUGACACCUCUGAAGAAGAAGAAGAAGAGCUCUGAAGACAUGAUUCAAAUGAUAUAUGAAGUGUUUGCACUUUCUGUGCAUAUUUUGUUGUAUGCAUUGUACUUUAUAUGUGUUUUCCAUGCCAACAAUGUUAAUAAAAUGAUCAAAUGCAUUCAGUGGCACUUAUAAUUUAUCUUAUUUUCACGGAGAAAUAAAAAUGGCUAGUGGAAAUUCUGAUUGGCUGGUAACUUUAGAAAACAAUUUUAAUUUCGAACCCUGGUUAG
This is a long non-coding RNA of Carassius gibelio (silver crucian carp), 1716 nucleotides long. RefSeq lists it as uncharacterized. Lineage: Eukaryota; Metazoa; Chordata; Actinopteri; Cypriniformes; Cyprinidae. The record is from RefSeq and is a predicted model, not a curated record. The transcript is spliced from 4 exons.